Molecule: non-coding RNA, 110 nt
Organism: Glycine max (soybean)
Lineage: Eukaryota; Viridiplantae; Streptophyta; Magnoliopsida; Fabales; Fabaceae
Source: Rfam
UUUUUAUUGGACGUUGAUCGCCAUGUGUUGCGUGUUUAUUGGACGUUAAUUUCAUGCACCUAAUUAACGUCAACCUCCAAUAAAAUCGCAACAUGUGGCGGUCAACUUCC